Molecule: ribosomal RNA, 418 nt
Filed under: uncultured bacterium
Lineage: Bacteria
Description: bacterial SSU rRNA
Rfam family: Bacterial small subunit ribosomal RNA
Source: RNAcentral
UGAGGAAUCUUGCACAAUGGGCGCAAGCCUGAUGCAGCGAUGCCGCGUGAGGGAUGAAGGCCUUCGGGUCGUAAACCUCUUUCGACAGGGAAGAAGCCGGGGGUCACCCCGGUGACGGUACCUGUAUAAGAAGCCCCGGCUAACUACGUGCCAGCAGCCACGGUAAAACGUAGGGGGCGAGCGUUGCCCGGAUUCACUGGGCGUAAAGCGGGUGUAGGCGGUCCGUUAAGUCGGGUGUGAAAUCUCCAGGCUCAACCUGGAAACUGCACCCGAUACUGCCGGACUUGAGGACGGUAGAGGUCGGUGGAAUGAGCGGUGUACCGGUGAAAUGGACAGAUAUCGCUCAGAACACCAGUGGCGAAGGCGGCCGACUGGGCCGUUCCUGACGCUGAGACCCGAAAGCCAGGGGAGCGAACCG